UAAAAACCCUAAUUUCUCAAUCGCCACAUUCUUCUCCUUCACGCCUAUUGUUCAUCCUCCUCCUUCUGCUUCAACUUCCCAUCUGACGUUGAUUCUAUCAAUAAACCCUAAUGAAUAAUAUACCUGAUCAAUCCGUUCUUUAGUUUCUUCAUUCCUUUUUCAAACCCUAAAACUCCAGCCGUACAGAGAUUGAAGAGAUUCAGCUGGUUUGGAAUCCUCCUCUGAUAUAUGUUCUCCCUUUGUCAUGUUACCAACUGACAAAGACGUUGAGUGGAGUAGUCGGUUGUGCUUCGGCUAAGGUCCCGCUGGGAACCUAAUGACGGAGAGGAGGUUGUCGGCUGUACAGCCUGGACUUCUCUUGGUUAAUUUUUUGUCAGGUCCACAACACGUUUCUUGAUCUUGGGGAUUUGAAUAUCCUCCGGCCAUACAUGAGGGAUGCAAUAACAGAUAUAUCUAAGUCAUGUGAAGCUUUUAAAGCAAAAGAAACAGCACCUUCAGUUGCAGUUUUAGCUUUGUGUACACUUCAAUAUGAGAUUUGAAAAACUUACGUACAAAGGCUUACUUCAUGGAUGAGGUCUUCAACUAAAGAGAUAUUGAUGUAUGAGAAGUUGAAAAAACGAGUGCCAAUGUUCUUAGAAAUAUCAUAUAUAAUGGUGGAUGAUCAUGAUGUGUGUUCAACUACCCCUCCAGUUGCCACACGAUGCUAAUUGUCCUUAUAACUCCUCCGCCUAUUGACGAGGAAGGGUGACAACAAUAUGCAACAUCUGUAUACGGAGAAAAAGCAAUGACAGCUCCGGAAAGAACAAAUGAAGUAGCUGGAAAUUAUGCAAACGAGUAUGUUGAGGUAGCUAGGGAACUCGGUGUUUCUUCGGUCAACUUAUGGUCAAAGAUGCAAGAAACAUAGGGGCUGGCAGAAAAAGUUUCUAAGGAGCUUGCUGAUCUACGUUGGAGGGAUCUCUCAUUUGGGUGUUCUGUUUAACCAAACAGCCUUUGGCAUAGCUCUGGUUGCUGAUGGCACCGGGUAUAUGUAUAGGCUUAUGAAGAGAUGGGUGUAUUCCCUGCAUGUUGAAACUGGUUCAUGGCCAAUUUAUAAAGUGAAAAGGAGGAAAGUUGAAUUGCUUGGUUUAUGGGCCAUGUGUAAGGGUGAGCAAACUUUAACUGUUAACCAAUGUUUCAUGCUAGAUGUAACAAGCUAACUGUUAACUAUGUUUUCCCUCUUUCUGCAAUGUAGAUAGGGUCCUAGAUCAUGUUUAGGAAUAUAAAGUUUCAAUAUUUUUUGUUAAUUAAUUGGAAUUGUUGAUAAAGUUAGACAUAUUUAGUGUCAUCUAAUAUGUGGGGUUGCUAAAAACCCUAAAGAUGAGGGCAUUUGAUCCAACUAAUCUGUUAUAUUUAUUACCCCCUUUAUUAGGAUUCAUACAGUUGACCUUAUGUAUCAAAGAAGUUA
Molecule: long non-coding RNA, 1444 nt
Filed under: Helianthus annuus (common sunflower)
Lineage: Eukaryota; Viridiplantae; Streptophyta; Magnoliopsida; Asterales; Asteraceae
Source: RNAcentral